Molecule: long non-coding RNA, 399 nt
Organism: Artibeus jamaicensis (Jamaican fruit-eating bat)
Lineage: Eukaryota; Metazoa; Chordata; Mammalia; Chiroptera; Phyllostomidae
Exons: 3
Source: RefSeq, a predicted model, not a curated record
GCCUGACCUGGGUCUUUCUGUCGCACAUGCUCAGAUAGUGGCUGCUGGUGGGCCUCAGAGCCCACAUGCUGAACAGGACCUCUGGGAGGUCAUCUUGGGCCCAGGUCUCAUUUUCCAGAGCUGCAGAUGUCACUGGAAGGGACUGGUGUGCGGACUUCUCAAGAGCAAAGUGGUCUCCUAGGCAAAUCAGACCCGAAGUGCAGUUAACUGAGCAUGAAUGUCUGUGCUCUAGACGGUGUAAGACCCCUGAAUCAAAGAAAAACCGAAUCUGUAUGUAAGUAGUCACACGAAAGUGUGACUUAUUUCAUUUAUUUGUAGAAGUGACUCUCUGAUGAUGGUGACAGGAUCAGCCCAAGACCACAAACGCACUGGACCCAAGACCCAUGGACACAGCCAACA